Zalophus californianus (California sea lion) is the source of this 1487-nucleotide long non-coding RNA. RefSeq lists it as uncharacterized. The record is from RefSeq and is a predicted model, not a curated record. NCBI's taxonomy places the organism in Eukaryota, Metazoa, Chordata, Mammalia, Carnivora, Otariidae. The transcript is spliced from 7 exons.
GUCCCAGGAGACAGAAUCACCUACUGAGUUAUUCCUUUCUAAUGGUCUUGAGUAAUGUCAACUGCCCACUUGAGACAAUAGGUGCCUGGAGAAGCCGGAACACCCACCUUUUUGUUCAGCCCCUGACUGGGUGACUGUGCAAUUUUGAGUCUGGAAUCUUUGUCAGAAGGAGAGGAGGGGCAGGCUAAGAGAGAACGUGCCCUUCUUCAGGAUGAGAAGAUUGAGGCCCAGCAUGGUCAUGUGACUUGGAUGUGCUCUCUCCAUGAGAGGUCCUGGAAAGGACAAAAGAUAAUCACCAGAGACAACCUUAGACGUUCAUCAGGCGGGAAAGGGCACCAGAAGAAUCCUCACGGCAAACUUGACUAACCAGCCCUGAUCUUCCAUUGGUUUCCCCAGUCUGGUUUGCAGGACCCCUGGUCAAUACAGCUAAGAUGGGCAGAAGGAAAAGAUGUUUCCCCCUUUCCUAUACCUGGCUUCUCACAGGGGAUUUCUUUCUUAUGGAAAACCAUUGCUCCGCAUUCUCCUAGAGACCCUACUGUCUUCCACUGUAACCGCUGCUUGCAAGUGAAUGGGAGCCAAUGAGCGGCCGUGAUUGCCCGGCCAAAGGUGCUCAGCGUGAGCAGGGAUAUGAAGAGGCAAGCAUCCUGCCCAUCGGGAGGCGGGAGCUCUCCCACCCAGACUUCCUGAGGAGUGAAGUACAGGCAGCUCACAUCUGCAGCCAACCAGCCUGGGUGGUAUUCCUUGAAGUGAAAUGCUCACAAAUCCCUUCCUGGGGGCCAGAGCCAGUUGGACAACCUGGAGGUUCCUGGUGGCCUGUCUGUUCUUCGGGGGCAAGCUUGGGGAGCUGAAGAAAUCAAAUCAAGGCCUCAGUCCCAUUGCAGAAUUGCUUCUUCACAACUCUGAAGCCCCCUAAUACCUAGAUGGUUGGUUCUGCUGCCCUCCAUUGAGAAUGACUGUCAUUUGUUCAUUUGCUGUUCACAGCCACCUGAGCAGAGGAGCCCCGUGGAGACUUGCUCGGAACCAGACCCUGCUGUCUAGCGGAUGACGGGUCCGUGCCAUAGCCAGCCUGAGUCUCUCAUCAUUACAUGUGGAUGGCUGCCUGCCAGGGCCCCAGGCCAACCGAACGUCAGUGAGACGUGAACGUUUAUUGUAUCGAGCUGAGGUUUCAGGGUUUACAUGUUACAGGAGCAAGUAUUACCACAGCUACAGAGAAACCGUGAAAAACAAGUCCAAGCAAGCCACCGGCCGACGGCAGCAGGCAGUCCACAAAGUACAAGUCUUACCGCACACAGAGGUAGCACAUGAUGAGUCACGCUGUGCUGAGCUUCCCGAUGCCCCCUUCUGCAGGGGACUUGGUGCCUAGCCUUCUGCUGUCAGCCACCUCAGAGACUUGAGGCUGCAGAGAGCCAUCCAGCCCCAUGCAGAGGGCGCUUCCAUGGUGUGGGUAGACCUGUGAAGGUGAUGGGAUAAUCUCUCUCUUGAGUAGG